GAUGAACGCUGGCGGCGUGCCUAAUACAUGCAAGUCGAGCGAACAGACGAGGAGCUUGCUCCUCUGACGUUAGCGGCGGACGGGUGAGUAACACGUGGAUAACCUACCUAUAAGACUGGGAUAACUUCGGGAAACCGGAGCUAAUACCGGAUAAUAUAUUGAACCGCAUGGUUCAAUAGUGAAAGACGGUUUUGCUGUCACUUAUAGAUGGAUCCGCGCCGCAUUAGCUAGUUGGUAAGGUAACGGCUUACCAAGGCAACGAUGCGUAGCCGACCUGAGAGGGUGGUCGGCCACCCUGGAGCUGAGACACGGUCCAGACUCCUACGGGAGGCAGCAGUAGGGAAUCUUCCGCAAUGGGCGAAAGCUUGACGGAGCAACGCCGCGUGAGUGAUGAAGGUCUUCGGAUCGUAAAACUCUGUUAUUAGGGAAGAACAAAUGUGUAAGUAACUAUGCACGUCUUGACGGUACCUAAUCAGAAAGCCACGGCUAACUACGUG
Molecule: ribosomal RNA, 497 nt
Filed under: uncultured bacterium
Lineage: Bacteria
Description: partial 16S ribosomal RNA
Rfam family: Bacterial small subunit ribosomal RNA
Source: RNAcentral